GAUGAACGCUGGCGGCGUGCCUAAUACAUGCAAGUCGAACGCUGGAGAUCUAGCUUGCUAGAUCGAAGGAGUGGCGAACGGGUGAGUAAUACAUAAGCAACCUACCCACGAAGACUGGGAUAAUCUCUGGAAACGGGGACUAAUACCGGAUAGGUAAUCGGAAGGCAUCUUCUGGUUAUUAAAGGUUAAAAACACUGGUGGAUGGGCUUAUGGCGCAUUAGUUAGUUGGUGAGGUAACGGCCCACCAAGACGAUGAUGCGUAGCCGGCCUGAGAGGGUGAACGGCCCCAUUGGGACUGGGCACCGGCCCAGACCCCUAGGGGGGGCAGCAGUGGGGAUUUUUCGGAAAUGGGGGCAACCCGGCCCGAGCACCGCCGGGGGAGUGAAGACGGCUUUGGGGUUGUAAAGCUUUGUUGUAAGGGAAAAAGGGUAGAUAGAAAAUAUCUAAGUGGCGGUACCUUACCAAAAAGCCCCGGCAAACUCCGU
Molecule: ribosomal RNA, 485 nt
Filed under: uncultured bacterium
Lineage: Bacteria
Description: partial 16S ribosomal RNA
Rfam family: Bacterial small subunit ribosomal RNA
Source: RNAcentral